CCUANGGGAGGCUGCAGUCGAGGAUAUUUAGCAAUGGGCGAAAGCCUGACUAUGUGACGCCGCGUGAGGGAUGAAGGUCUUCGGAUUGUAAACCUCUUUCGAUGGGGAAGAAACCUCCGUUUAAUAAACGGAAUUGACGGUACCUAGAGAAGAAGCCAUGGCCAACUCUGUGCCAGCAGCCGCGGUAAUACAGAGAUGGCGAGCGUUACUCGGAUUUAUUGGGUGUAAAGGGCAGGUAGGUGUUCUGCUAAGUUAGUGGUGAAAUCCUGCAGCUCAACUGCAGAACUGCCACUAAAACUGGUAGAAUUGAGGCUAGAAGAGGAGAGCGGAAUUCCCGGUGUAAGAGUGAAAUCUGUAGAUAUCGGGAGGAACACCAGUGGCGAAAGCGGCUCUCUGGUCUAGCCCUGACGCUGAUCUGCGAAAGCUAGGGGAGCAAACAGGAUUAGAUACCCCUNUANUC
This 460-nucleotide ribosomal RNA is filed under the name uncultured bacterium. RNAcentral describes it as "bacterial SSU rRNA". It matches the Rfam family "Bacterial small subunit ribosomal RNA", at positions 338 to 795 of the family's 1533-position model. The record is from RNAcentral.